RNAcentral lists this ribosomal RNA (400 nucleotides) under uncultured bacterium. RNAcentral's name for it is "bacterial SSU rRNA". It matches the Rfam family "Bacterial small subunit ribosomal RNA", at positions 355 to 748 of the family's 1533-position model. The record is from RNAcentral.
UCGCGAAUUUUUCACAAUGGACGCAAGUCUGAUGAAGCCACGCCGCGUGUAGGAUGAAGGCCCUCUGGGUUGUAAACUACUGUCGAGGGAGGGGAACCGCUGCAAGUUAAUGGCUUGCAGUCUGACUGCUCUCUGAAGGAAGCCCCGGCAAAACAUGUGCCAGCAGCCGCGGUAAUACAUGUGGGGCAAGCGUUGUUCGGAAUUACUGGGCAUAAAGGGUGCGUAGGUGGUCUAUUAAGUCAGGGGUGAAAUCCCGCGGCCCAACCGUGGAACUGCCUUUGAUACUGAUGGACUUGAGUGCGUGAGGGGUAGGGGGAACGAGCAGUGUAGCGGUGAAAUGCGUAGAUAUUGCUCGGAAGGCCAGAGCCGAAGGGGCCCUACUGGUGCGCAACUGACACUG